CCUACGGGUGGCAGCAGUGAGGAAUAUUGGUCAAUGGACGAGAGUCUGAACCAGCCAAGUAGCGUGAAGGAUGACUGCCCUAUGGGUUGUAAACUUCUUUUAUAUGGGAAUAAAAUGUUCCACGUGUGGGAUUUUGUAUGUACCAUAUGAAUAAGGAUCGGCUAACUCCGUGCCAGCAGCCGCGGUAAUACGGAGGAUCCGAGCGUUAUCCGGAUUUAUUGGGUUUAAAGGGAGCGUAGGUGGAUUGUUAAGUCAGUUGUGAAAGUUUGCGGCUCAACCGUAAAAUUGCAGUUGAAACUGGCAGUCUUGAGGACAGUAGAGGUGGGCGGAAUUCGUGGUGUAGCGGUGAAAUGCUUAGAUAUCACGAAGAACUCCGAUUGCGAAGGCAGUUCACUGGACUGCAACUGACACUGAGGCUCGAAAGUGUGGGUAUCAAACAGGAUUAGACACCCCAGUAGUC
RNAcentral lists this ribosomal RNA (460 nucleotides) under uncultured bacterium. Its description in RNAcentral is "partial 16S ribosomal RNA". It matches the Rfam family "Bacterial small subunit ribosomal RNA", at positions 338 to 795 of the family's 1533-position model. The record is from RNAcentral.